RNAcentral lists this microRNA (19 nucleotides) under Chiloscyllium plagiosum (whitespotted bambooshark). RNAcentral's name for it is "microRNA PC-3p-1988763_1". Lineage: Eukaryota; Metazoa; Chordata; Chondrichthyes; Orectolobiformes; Hemiscylliidae. The record is from RNAcentral.
AGGACUGAGUGGACUGCCU